GAUGAACGCUGGCGGCGUGCUUGACACAUGCAAGUCGAACGAAGCAUUUAGAACAGAUUAUUUCGGUAUGAAGUUCUUUAUGACUGAGUGGCGGACGGGUGAGUAACGCGUGGGUAACCUGCCUUGUACUGGGGGAUAGCAGCUGGAAACGGCUGGUAAUACCGCAUAAGCGCACAAUGUUGCAUGACAUGGUGUGAAAAACUCCGGUGGUAUAAGAUGGACCCGCGUCUGAUUAGCUAGUUGGUGAGAUAACAGCCCACCAAGGCGACGAUCAGUAGCCGACCUGGGAGGGUGACCGGCCACAUUGGGACUGAGACACGGCCCAGACUCCUACGGGAGGCAGCAGUGGGGAACAUUGCACAAUGGAGGAAACUCUGAUGCAGCGACGCCGCGUGAGUGAAGAAGUAAUUCGUUAUGUAAAGCUCUAUCAGCAGGGAAGAUAGUGACGGUACCUGACUAAGAAGCUCCGGCUAAAUACGUGCCAGCCGCCGCGGUAA
RNAcentral lists this ribosomal RNA (497 nucleotides) under uncultured bacterium. Its description in RNAcentral is "partial 16S ribosomal RNA". It matches the Rfam family "Bacterial small subunit ribosomal RNA", at positions 28 to 523 of the family's 1533-position model. The record is from RNAcentral.